This 3393-nucleotide long non-coding RNA is filed under the name Anas platyrhynchos platyrhynchos (common mallard). RNAcentral describes it as "lncRNA (ENSAPLG00000027773.1)". The record is from RNAcentral. Lineage: Eukaryota; Metazoa; Chordata; Aves; Anseriformes; Anatidae.
CUCCCCACUCAGAGCCAGAGGGCCAGGGCUGGAGACCCUGCCUGCCCCAGCUGAUUUCUAGAAUAUAGGUCUUGGAACAGCUUCCUUCUUUUCUCCUCCAGAUCUACAAAAUACACUAAAACAGUGCUUAACUGCACAGGCUUGGCAGCGAGGAUGGACUCGGGCUGCCAGCUCACCUCUCCCAACCCGGCACAGAGGCAGGCACAGGAACCGGGAGCGCUACUGGAGCCAGCAGAAUGGCCCUCGGGACCGAGCCCCUGGGUGUUUUACGAGGCCAGCUAUAUUCUGCUGCAAGCAGCCAUGGGUUUCUUCUGGGGGUACUCGUGCUGACACGCAGGUGCUGAAUACUGGUGGCCAAGAAAGCACUCUGCGGCUACAAGAAUUCAUCCCACUGGCCCCAACAAGGACCGUCGGUCGCUGUCGCUUCAUUGCCUGCACUGCUGCAGAACUGCACCUGGAGCCACGGCCGCAGGCUCUGCCACCGUGUCCUGUCCUGGCGGUUAGCCCUGCCUUCGUCGGGCUCGCACCCCAAAAAUUAGCAUGCAUAAUUGCACUUUCGUCCCAUAUGCAAACCUGUAGUCAUUGGACAACUCUGGUGAAUACUGCCUCACUUUUUUAGCUACGCAUUGAGGAUGUUUUCCACAUCUGUACAAAAUCAGCUAAAACUAUGUUGUUAGCUUUCACCCCUGAACUUGAAAAGCUGCCACUGUUUAACUCAAAUAACUGAUUUGCACAUCAAGCCGCCAGGACAUAUUACACGUUGUUUUGUGGUGUGACUCGCUGUACUACUGGAUAGCAUGGCUUGUUUGGUUCUUUCUUUGAAGCACUGAACCUUGUUCUAAGUGAGUUUUAUUUGGGAAUUUGAGGCUUAACGAAAAAGUGUAAAAGACACGGAAUUUUUGUCAGAAAUCCAAAGAUCAUGGCCACAGAGACUUUGGCAGACUACGGAUACUUUUGUCUUCAGACCCACAGCGCAGUGAGUAUUAUGGGCUCCAGACCCUCAGCACAGUUCCCCAGCCUGGAGCUGGAGGAUGAGCUGGGGCCUCACUGACGGUUCACACCUGGAGCGCGAUUCCGCACGCAUUUUGCUAGGAUGCUGCACAACCAGCAACAGGAGGUCGACGAUCAGGAAUGCUGGGCUCCGUUCCUGGCUGUGAAAGGAAGCGUGAUGUAGUGGUUAGAACAGACAUUGGAUCAGGAUUGCCAAGCUACAGUUCUGACACGAAUUCUGAAAAACACUGAAGGGAGGAGGGGAGAAGUCUCAGUUACGUUCUGCUGGAGUCAUAAGUUCUUUUCCUAAACAUAAUUUGUGUGUUAGGCUUUCCAAACACCGAGAAUUAUAUCUGGCUGCCUUUUGGGGCAAGUUAUAAGGCCUCGUUCAAAUAACAAAGCUCUGAAGUGCAGAGAAUAUAAACAGCAAUCAGAAGUGAGACUGGCGAGCUAACAUUUCUUGGCUUACAGCAUAUUGCACGUUCCUCUAGUCUGCAGGGUAUUUAUGUUUCUUCUUUUGUCUGGGGAAUAUUAUCCUGACUGGCAAUGCAAGAGAAAAGGCAGACAAAUUGAAGCCGAAUGCAAAAUAUCCUGCAAAAUCUGGUAGGCCGGUGCUCCUGAGAGCUCUGAUGCAAAAGAUAAUUAUAGAUGAAAGUGUAGCAACCGCUGUGGUUAAGGUUGCGAAAUGUUCUAUUUACUCAGGUUGCUUAGGAGCCGUGCAAAAACUACAUGCUGGCUCUGCGCAGCACAGUAUCUCCAGCGGGGCCAGAGCUUUGGGGAGGAUCGGAUCUGCAGUGUUCUCAAGUUCUGCAGAACCUUUAUUGCCCAAAUAUGGUCCAGCAGCAUAUAGGUGCUUAAAAGGCUAGAAAUUAUGGGCCUGCGAUUAGAUGUUUUGUAGAGACCGAAAGCUCAAAAGGCCCAGCCCUCAGAGGCUGAAUAGAUCAAAUUUUUGCUGAGAAAAUACCACUUUGUAGCUUUCUCUGCAGGAGUCCUGAGGAGCACAGGACCAGCACUCUCCCUACUCCUUGCAAAGGGCUACAGAGCCAGAUACACGUCAUUGUUUUAAGUCUUCUGUGUUUUCGUUUCACGUCAAGCCGAGGAAAUUAAUUGUAAAAGCUCCGUGUUUAGACAACAUAAAGCCUAAAGUACUCUGGGGCACAUCCUCAGUUUGUGUAAAUUGUCAUGAGAUAUCAAAGUAAAGAUCAAAUGCCAGGCCUUCCCUCAGAUAUCCUGUGUGUGCUAUGACACAGCAGCUACACGUGGUCAUAAACUGUUUUCCAAACCAUAACAUAAUGCAAUGCAGUAAUACUGUGGUUAGGCUAAUGAUGUGGUAGGACCAUCACAUAUUGUGCUAACCAGCAUCAUCUUAUUGGUGCUUUUUUUUUUUUUUCCUUCUUUGUUUACCUUGACGUGCUGCUUCUUCAUGCUUAAACCCUGUAAUCUCUCCGUCCAGUUUGCAUUGCACCUUGCUAAAUGUAGCUAUGGCCCAUUACUUGGGUGCAGAGGUGCUAAACCAAUACAAAAAAUGGAUUUUUAUAUUACCUGUUAGUAAUAUUGUUUAUUAUAGGCUCUCAGCAUACUGUACCUAAAGAAUGUAUGUUAUGAUACGCUGCAUUACUUGUUUGAUAUUAAUGUUACGUGUAUCAUAGAAUCAUGGAAUCAUUAAGGUUGGAAAAGACCUUCAAGAUCAUCUGGUCCAUCUGUCCCUCUACGACCACUGUCACCACCAAACCAUGUCCCCAAGCACCACAACCAGCCUCUCCUUGAACACCCCCAGGGACGGUGACUCCACCACCUCCCUGGGCAACCCGUCCCAAUGCCUGACCACUCUUUCUGAGCAGAAAUGUCUCUUCAUUUCCAACCUGAACCUCCCCUGGCACAACUCGAGGCCAUUCCCUCUGGUCCUGUCACUAGUUAUCUGUGAGAAGAGGCCGACCCCCAGCUCCCCACACCUUCCUUUCAGGUAGUUGGAGAGAGCAAUUAAGGAGAGAGCUCUCUCCUGAGCCGCCUCUGCUCCAGACUAAACAGCCCCAGUUCCUUCGGCCACUUCUAAGACUUGUGUUCCAGGACCUUCACCAACUUCAUAGCCCUAAAGUGUAGUGUCACGUAGUCCUCUAACUGUCACAAGGCAUACAAGCUCUUUGGUCUUCGUGUUGCUGAAGACUUCCCUGAUCAACCAAUUUCAUCAGCACAAUCAUAUGAAGUGUUGGUGAGGUCUCCACAGAAGUCCAGCACAAGAGCCAGGUCCUAUUUACAAUCUCAGAAAACCCCAUUACGUUUUUCUUCCUUGCUUAGUAUGUAGGAUAAAUUAUCAAAGAAAAGCAGAGACAAAACAACCUUGCAGCUGAUUCUUGCCAGAAAGGAGGCAUGAUGAGAAUACAAAAUAAAUAAAUAAAUAAUAGC